RNAcentral lists this ribosomal RNA (579 nucleotides) under uncultured bacterium. RNAcentral's name for it is "bacterial SSU rRNA". It matches the Rfam family "Bacterial small subunit ribosomal RNA", at positions 31 to 602 of the family's 1533-position model. The record is from RNAcentral.
GAACGCUGGCGGCAGGCUUACACAUGCAAGUCGAGCGGUAACAUUUCUAGCUUGCUAGAAGAUGACGAGCGGCGGACGGGUGAGUAACGCGUAGGAAUCUGCCUAGUAGUGGGGGACAACAUGUGGAAACGCAUGCUAAUACCGCAUACGCCCUACGGGGGAAAGGAGGGGAUCUUCGGACCUUUCGCUAUUAGAUGAGCCUGCGUGAGAUUAGCUAGUUGGUGGGGUAAGGGCCUACCAAGGCGACGAUCUCUAGCUGGUCUGAGAGGAUGAUCAGCCACACUGGGACUGAGACACGGCCCAGACUCCUACGGGAGGCAGCAGUGGGGAAUAUUGGACAAUGGGCGCAAGCCUGAUCCAGCCAUGCCGCGUGUGUGAAGAAGGCCUUAGGGUUGUAAAGCACUUUCAGGAGUGAGGAAGGGCGUAUAGUUAAUACCUGUAUGUUUUGACGUUAACUCCAGAAGAAGCACCGGCUAACUCUGUGCCAGCAGCCGCGGUAAUACAGAGGGUGCGAGCGUUAAUCGGAAUUACUGGGCGUAAAGCGCGCGUAGGCGGUUUGUUAAGUCGGAUGUGAAAUCC